AGGAUCAUUACCACACCUAAAAAACUUUCCACGUGAACCGUUUCAACCCAAUAGUUGGGGGUCUUAUUUGGCGGCGGCUGCUGGCUUAAUUGUUGGCGGCUGCUGCUGAGUGAGCCCUAUCAAAAAAAAGGCGAACGUUUGGGCUUCGGCCUGAUUUAGUAGUCUUUUUUUCUUUUAAACCCAUUCCUUAAUACUGAAUAUACUGUGGGGACGAAAGUCUCUGCUUUUAACUAGAUAGCAACUUUCAGCAGUGGAUGUCUAGGCUCGCACAUCGAUGAAGAACGCUGCGAACUGCGAUACGUAAUGCGAAUUGCAGGAUUCAGUGAGUCAUCGAAAUUUUGAACGCAUAUUGCACUUCCGGGUUAGUCCUGGAAGUAUGCCUGUAUCAGUGUCCGUACAUUAAACUUGACUUUCUUCCUUCCGUGUAGUCGGUGGAGGAGAUGUCAGAUGUGAAGUGUCUUGCGAUUGGUCUUCGGACCGGCUGCGAGUCCUUUUAAAUGUACUAAACUGAACUUCUCUUUGCUCGAAAAGUGGUGGCGUAGCUGGUUGUGAAGGCUGCUAUUGUGGCAAAUUGGCGACUGGUUUGUCUGCUGCGGCGUUAAUGGAAGAGUGUUCGAUUCGUGGUAUGGUUGGCUUCGGCUGAACAAUGCACUUAUUGGACGUUUUUCCUGCUGUGGCGUGAUGGACUGGUGAACCAUAGCUCGGUGGCUUGGCUUUUGAAUUGGCUUUGCUGUUGCGAAGUAGGGUGGCAGCUUCGGUUGUCGAGGGUCGAUCCAUUUGGGAACUUAAUGUGUACUUCGGUAUGCAUCUCAAUGGACCUGAUAUCAGCAAGAUGCCCCG
The sequence is a ribosomal RNA, 840 nucleotides long. The stretch from base 240 to 394 matches the Rfam family "5.8S ribosomal RNA".